Molecule: ribosomal RNA, 356 nt
Filed under: Olivibacter sp. 3AR7
Lineage: Bacteria; Pseudomonadati; Bacteroidota; Sphingobacteriia; Sphingobacteriales; Sphingobacteriaceae
Description: bacterial SSU rRNA
Rfam family: Bacterial small subunit ribosomal RNA
Source: RNAcentral
GCAGCCUAAUACUGCAGUCGGACGGGAUUCAGCAGCUUGCUGUUGAUGAGAGUGGCGCACGGGUGCGUAACGCGUGAGCAACCUGCCCAUUUCAGGGGGAUAGCCCGGAGAAAUCCGGAUUAAGACCGCAUAUGAUCACGUUACCGCAUGGUAAAGUGAUGAAAUAUUCAUAGGAAAUGGAUGGGCUCGCGUGACAUUAGCUGGUUGGUAGGGUAACGGCCUACCAAGGCGACGAUGUCUAGGGGCUCUGAGAGGAGAAUCCCCCACACUGGUACUGAGACACGGACCAUACUCCUACGGGUGGCAGCAGUAANGAAAAAUUGGUCCCCCGGGGGGAUACCCGAACAAACCAUGCC